This 475-nucleotide ribosomal RNA is filed under the name uncultured bacterium. Its description in RNAcentral is "bacterial SSU rRNA". It matches the Rfam family "Bacterial small subunit ribosomal RNA", at positions 15 to 518 of the family's 1533-position model. The record is from RNAcentral.
GAUUAUGGCUCAGGAUUAACGCUGGCGGCGUGCCUAAUACAUGCAAGUCGAAUGGUAGCAAUACCAUGGCGAACGGGUGAGUAACACGUAGGUAACCUGUCUUUAAGCCGAGGAUAACCAUUGGAAACGAUGGAUAAUACUGGAUAGGACAUUUGAAGGCAUCUUAGAUGUUUAAAGAUUUAUUACUUAGAGAGGGGCCUGCGGCGCAUUAGCUAGUUGGUGAGGUGAAGGCUUACCAAGGCGAUGAUGCGUAGCCGGACUGAGAGGUUGAACGGCCACAAUGGAACUGAGAACGGUCCAUACUCCUACGGGAGGCAGCAGUAGGGAAUUUUCGGCAAUGGGCGGAAGCCCUGACCGAGCAACGCCGCGUGAACGAAGAAGUAUUUCGGUAUGUAAAGUUCUUUUAUUAGGGACGAAAAGACAGAUUGACGGUACCUAAUGAAUAAGCUCCGGCUAACUACGUGCCAGCCGCGGC